RNAcentral lists this ribosomal RNA (426 nucleotides) under uncultured eukaryote. Its description in RNAcentral is "SSU rRNA". It matches the Rfam family "Eukaryotic small subunit ribosomal RNA", at positions 592 to 1018 of the family's 1831-position model. The record is from RNAcentral.
CAAUAGCGUAUAUUUAAGUUGUUGCAGUUAAAAAGCUCGUAGUUGGAUUUCGGAUGGGUGCGGCCGGUCCGCCGUUUUGGUGUGCACUGGCUGCGUCCAUCUUGCUGUCGGGGACGCGCUCCUGGCCUUAAUUGGUCGGGACGCGGAGUCGGCGAAGUUACUUUGAAAAAUUAGAGUGUUCAAAGCAGGCCUACGCUCUGAAUACAUUAGCAUGGAAUAACGCGAUAGGACUCUGGUCUUAUUGUGUUGGUCUUCGAGACCGGAGUAAUGAUUAAGAGGGACAGUUGGGGGCGAUUCGUAUUUCAUUGUCAGAGGUGAAAUUCUUGGAUUUAUGAAAGACGAACUUCUGCGAAAGCAUUUGCCAAGGAUGUUUUCUAUUAAUUCAAGAACGAAAGUUAGGGGGCGUCGAAGAUGAUCAGAUACCAU